Molecule: unclassified non-coding RNA, 401 nt
Filed under: uncultured fungus
Lineage: Eukaryota; Fungi
Description: sequence contains ITS2
Rfam family: 5.8S ribosomal RNA (bases 1-154)
Source: RNAcentral
AACUUUUAGCAACGGAUCCCUUGGUUCUGGCAUCGAUGAAGAACGCAGCGAAAUGCGAUAAGUAAUGUGAAUUGCAGAAUUCAGUGAAUCAUCGAAUCUUUGAACGCACAUUGCGCCCGCCAGUAUUCUGGCGGGCAUGCCUGUUCGAUCGUCAUUUCAACCCUCAUGCCCCAGCGGCCUUGUGUUGGGCACCGGCGACCUCGCUGACGCCCAUCUUGGGCCCAGCGUCCGCCGCCACCGAAAUGAAUUGGCGGUCUCGUCGCGGCCUCCUCUGCGUAGUAGCACAACCUCGCAACAGGAGCGCGACGCGGCCACUGCCGUAAAACGCCCAACUUUUUAAGUUUGACCUCGGAUCAGGUAGGGAUACCCGCUGAACUUAAGCAUAUCAAUAAGCGGAGGCU